UACGGAGGGUGCAAGCGUUAUCCGGAUUCACUGGGUUUAAAGGGUGCGUAGGUGGGUAUGUAAGUCAGUGGUGAAAUCCCCGAGCUUAACUUGGAAACUGCCAUUGAUACUAUCAAUCUUGAAUACCGUGGAGAUGAGCGGAAUAUGUCAUGUAGCGGUGAAAUGCUUAGAUAUGACAUAGAACACCAAUUGCGAAGGCAGCUCGUUACACGAAUAUUGACACUGAUGCACGAAAGCGUGGGGAUCAAACAGG
This 253-nucleotide ribosomal RNA is filed under the name uncultured bacterium. RNAcentral describes it as "partial 16S ribosomal RNA". It matches the Rfam family "Bacterial small subunit ribosomal RNA", at positions 524 to 776 of the family's 1533-position model. The record is from RNAcentral.